Sander lucioperca (pikeperch) is the source of this 891-nucleotide long non-coding RNA. RefSeq lists it as uncharacterized. The transcript is spliced from 2 exons. NCBI's taxonomy places the organism in Eukaryota, Metazoa, Chordata, Actinopteri, Perciformes, Percidae. The record is from RefSeq and is a predicted model, not a curated record.
GUCGGGGUGAUGGAUGGGCAUUAGCGCACAGGACUUUCAAGCCAGGGAGCUGAGUUUGCUUCCCGGGGAAAACUAAAGACUUUCACCCAGGAAAUGCUUGUUCCUUGGGAGUGUUUUAAUACAAACCACAAUCUUUUUCCUAAAUAACUAGUCGUUUUAGUACCUAAAACUUAAAUUUUGUUGCCGCAUAACGCUCACUUUUUCUUGCCUAAACUUAACCGUAAUCUCUGCCGAAAUGACUGGCAGCUUGCGGUGCUCUGUACCCGGCUCACAGUCCCCUUUUCUCGGAGAAUGGAACCACCAACUACCACUGACCUGACAGAGCCCCAUGCGGAGCACCAUGCGGAGCAACGUAGCCGGUGUCGCAGAGCUCUGUAGCAGCUAAACACAUCUACUAACUGCUGCUGAUACGACGAGCUGUGACAGCCAUAAGAAAUGAAAGAAAGGACAAAAAAGAAGAAAAAAAACACAUCAUGCUGAAAUGAUCCUCUGAUACCAGAAUAAGUUGCCCACCAUGAGAUCUUACCUCAACAUUAUCAUCCAGAUGAGAAUCUAAGUGAACAUUCAAUUUCAAUAUCAGUUGUAACAGUGGCAUUGUACCCACGGAGGCAUCCUAUUUUAUUUUCAAUGCAGGAAGACAAUGGGGCUCCACUCCAUGUCGCUGUUGUGGCCCAAAAACUUAGAGGGUCUGAAAGGGAAAAUGUGGAGGCAUUUGUGUUUUAAUUUACUGUAAACGGUAAGCGUGGCGUUAUUCUAUAUUUUUAUUAUUGUCAACAAGUCCCAUGAGAAGACCUAAACAAUAAUGCAUAGUCCAUCUCUCAGCAGCUUCCAGUAUUUUCCCUGGCUCUCAGCCCCAAGCCAAUUAGCUCCAACUGAUGAUGUCAAUCUUUA